Molecule: ribosomal RNA, 897 nt
Filed under: uncultured bacterium
Lineage: Bacteria
Description: bacterial SSU rRNA
Rfam family: Bacterial small subunit ribosomal RNA
Source: RNAcentral
AGAGCGAACGUUAGCGGCGCGCCUAACACAUGCAAGUCGCACGAGAAAGGGCUUCGGCCCCGGUACAGUGGCGCACGGGUGAGUAGCACGUGGGUAACCUUCCCAAUCGUGGUGGAUAACCUGCCGAAAGGCGGGCUAAUACAGCAUGUGGCCCUUGAUCUUCGGUUCGGGGGUGAAAGCAGGCCUCUGUUUACAAGCUUGCGCGAUUGGAUGGGCCCGCGCCCCAUCAGCUAGUUGGCGAGGUAACGGCUCACCAAGGCAAUGACGGGUAGCUGGUCUGAGAGGAUGGCCAGCCACACUGGAACUGAGACACGGUCCAGACUCCUACGGGAGGCAGCAGUGGGGAAUCUUGCGCAAUGGGCGCAAGCCUGACGCAGCGACGCCGCGUGGGCGACGAAGGCCUUCGGGUUGUAAAGCCCUGUGGGGCGGGACGAACCUCAGCCGAGACAACACCUCGGUUGACUGACGGUACCGCCUUAGCAAGCACCGGCUAACUCUGUGCCAGCAGCCGCGGUAAGACAGAGGGUGCAAACGUUGCUCGGAAUUACUGGGCGUAAAGCGCGUGUAGGUGGCUUCGCGAGUCCGAUGUGAAAGCCCAGGGCUCAACCCUGGAAGUGCAUUGGAUACUACGGAGCUAGAGGCCUGGAGAGGUAGGCGGAAUUCCCGGUGUAGAGGUGAAAUUCGUAGAUAUCAGGAGGAACACCAGUGGCGAAGGCGGCUUACUGGACAGGACCUGACACUGAGACGCGAAAGCGUGGGUAGCAAACAGGAUUAGAUACCCUGGUAGUCCACGCCGUAAACGAUGGGUGCUGGGUGUCGCGGGUAUUGACCCCCGCGGUGCCGAAGCCAACGCGUUAAGCACCCCGCCUGGGAAGUACGGCCGCAAGGCUAAAACUC